This 517-nucleotide ribosomal RNA is filed under the name uncultured bacterium. Its description in RNAcentral is "partial 16S ribosomal RNA". It matches the Rfam family "Bacterial small subunit ribosomal RNA", at positions 28 to 523 of the family's 1533-position model. The record is from RNAcentral.
GACGAACGCUGGCGGCGUGCCUAACACAUGCAAGUCGAACGGAGAAAUUCAGCAAUGGAUUUCUUAGUGGCGAACGGGUGAGUAACGCGUAGAUAACCUGCCCCUAAGAUGGGGACAACAACUCGAAAGGGUUGCCAAUACCGAAUGUGAACAGUGCCUCGCAUGAGAUGCUGUUUGAAGGUGGCCUCUGAAUAUGCUACCGCUUAGAGAUGGGUCUGCGUCUGAUUAGCUAGGUUGGAGGGGUAAUGGCCCACAAAGGCGACGAUCAGUAGCCGGUCUGAGAGGAUGAACGGCCACACGGGGACUGAGACACGGCCCAGACGCCUACGGGAGGCAGCAGUGGGGAAUCUUCCGCAAUGGACGAAAGUCUGACGGAGCAACGCCGCGUGAGUGAAGAAGGUUUUCGGAUCGUAAAGCUCUGUCUUCAGGGACGAAUGUGCAGAUUGUAAAUAAUGGUUUGCAAUGACGGUACCUGAGGAGGAAGCCACGGCUAACUACGUGCCAGCAGCCGCCGUAA